UACGUAGGGGGCAAGCGUUAUCCGGAUUUACUGGGUGUAAAGGGAGCGCAGACGGUCAUGCAAGUCUGAAGUGAAAACCUGAGGCUUAACCACAGGCAUGCUUUGGAAACUGCAGGACUAGAGUACCGGAGGGGUAAGCGGAAUUCCUAGUGUAGCGGUGAAAUGCGUAGAUAUUAGGAAGAACACCGGUGGCGAAGGCGGCUUACUGGACGGUAACUGACGUUGAGGCUCGAAAGCGUGGGGAGCAAAC
Molecule: ribosomal RNA, 250 nt
Filed under: uncultured prokaryote
Description: partial 16S ribosomal RNA
Rfam family: Bacterial small subunit ribosomal RNA
Source: RNAcentral